RNAcentral lists this ribosomal RNA (403 nucleotides) under uncultured bacterium. Its description in RNAcentral is "partial 16S ribosomal RNA". It matches the Rfam family "Bacterial small subunit ribosomal RNA", at positions 30 to 526 of the family's 1533-position model. The record is from RNAcentral.
AUUGAACGCUGGAGGCAGGCCUAACACAUGCAAGUCGAGCGAGCGGCGGACGCGUUAGUAAUGUUUGGGGAUUGCUCGAUAGAGGGGGAUAACACUUGGAAACGGUGGCUAGUACAGCAUACUCUUGGAGUCUCCAUAUGGGAUUAGCUAGUAGGUAAGGUAAUGGCUCACUUAGGCGACGAUCCCUAGCUGGUCUGAGAGGAUGAUCAGCCACACUGGGACUGAGACACGGCCCAGACUCCUACGGAGGCAGCAGUGGGGAAUAUUGCACAAUGGGCGCAAGCCUGAUGCAGCCAUGCCGCGUGUAUGAAGAAGGCCCUAGGGUUGUAAAGUACUUUCAGUCGGGAGGCGUUACCGACAGAAGAAGCACCGGCUAACUCCGUGCCAGCAGCCGCGGUAAUAC